RNAcentral lists this ribosomal RNA (301 nucleotides) under uncultured bacterium. Its description in RNAcentral is "partial 16S ribosomal RNA". It matches the Rfam family "Bacterial small subunit ribosomal RNA", at positions 509 to 807 of the family's 1533-position model. The record is from RNAcentral.
CAGCAGCCACGGGAAUACGAAGGGUGCAAGCGUUACUCGGAAUUACUGGGCGUAAAGCGUGCGUAGGUGGUGGUUUAAGUCCGUUGUGAAAGCCCUGGGCUCAACCUGGGAAUUGCAGUGGAUACUGGGUCACUAGAGCGUGGUAGAGGAUAGUGGAAUUUCCGGUGUAGCAGUGAAAUGCGUAGAGAUCGGAAGGAACAUCUGUGGCGAAGGCGACUAUCUGGGCCAACACUGACACUGAGGCACGAAAGCGUGGGGAGCAAACAGGAUUAGAUACCCCUGUAGUCCCUGUCUCUUAUAC